CUCUAGAGUUUGAUCCUGGCUCAGGACGAACGCUGGCGGCGUGCUUAACACAUGCAAGUCGAACGAUGAUGCCCAGCUUGCUGGGCGGAUUAGUGGCGAACGGGUGAGUAACACGUGAGUAACCUGCCCUUGACUUCGGGAUAACUCCGGGAAACCGGGGCUAAUACCGGAUAUGAGCUACCUUCGCAUGGGGGUGGUUGGAAAGUUUUUCGGUCAGGGAUGGGCUCGCGGCCUAUCAGCUUGUUGGUGGGGUGAUGGCCUACCAAGGCGACGACGGGUAGCCGGCCUGAGAGGGCGACCGGCCACACUGGGACUGAGACACGGCCCAGACUCCUACGGGAGGCAGCAGUGGGGAAUAUUGCACAAUGGGCGCAAGCCUGAUGCAGCGACGCCGCGUGAGGGAUGAAGGCCUUCGGGUUGUAAACCUCUUUCAGCAGGGAAGAAGCGCAAGUGACGGUACCUGCAGAAGAAGCGCCGGUAACUACGUGCCAGCAGCCGCGGUAAUACGUAGGGCGCAAGCGUUGUCCGGAAUUAUUGGGCGUAAAGAGCUCGUAGGCGGUCUGUCGCGUCUGGUGUGAAAACUCGAGGCUCAACCUCGAGCUUGCAUCGGGUACGGGCAGACUAGAGUGCGGUAGGGGAGACUGGAAUUCCUGGUGUAGCGGUGGAAUGCGCAGAUAUCAGGAGGAACACCGAUGGCGAAGGCAGGUCUCUGGGCCGCAACUGACGCUGAGGAGCGAAAGCAUGGGGAGCGAACAGGAUUAGAUACCCUGGUAGUCCAUGCCGUAAACGUUGGGCACUAGGUGUGGGGCUCAUUCCACGAGUUCCGUGCCGCAGCAAACGCAUUAAGUG
This 849-nucleotide ribosomal RNA is filed under the name Cellulosimicrobium funkei. Its description in RNAcentral is "bacterial SSU rRNA". It matches the Rfam family "Bacterial small subunit ribosomal RNA", at positions 1 to 866 of the family's 1533-position model. The record is from RNAcentral. Lineage: Bacteria; Bacillati; Actinomycetota; Actinomycetes; Micrococcales; Promicromonosporaceae.